Molecule: long non-coding RNA, 424 nt
Organism: Octodon degus (degu)
Lineage: Eukaryota; Metazoa; Chordata; Mammalia; Rodentia; Octodontidae
Exons: 3
Source: RefSeq, a predicted model, not a curated record
CGCUCGAGUCCCCCGGGUCGCGCCCAGCGCCACGCCCGACUGCCCCGGGCUCUAGCGGGGCGCCUACGGGAGAGGUGCGGGGCGCGCUGCCAGAUCGGAGCGGGCGCCGGCCGGCGAGGCAGCCAUUGUGUCGUCUCCCGGAAUGCCUGCGUGGAGCCUGGCGCGCCUCUUGGGGGGACCCCGGGGUGCCCUCAGAACUACUGGGUCGGUGAGGGCGGAGCCAUCCCUCGACCCGGGAGUCUCGCGGUGAGCAGCUGUGGUCGGGAGGACCCGAUCCGGAGUAUCAUAGAUUGCUGGCCCACAGAAAUUUGAAUGAAGCUGAAGUAGGUGGCUUCUGGGUCUCUUUAGAUACAUCCUCAUUGAAUGGUAAAAGACUUGAAGCUUUUCUCCUAAGAUCAGAAGGAAGAUGAGGAUACCUGUUUAU